UACGAAGGGGGGCUAGCGUUGCUCGGAAUGACUGGGCGUAAAGGGCGCGUAGGUGGCGCGGGAAGUCAACGGUGAAAGUUCGGGGCUCAACCCCUGAAUCGGCCGUCGAUACUCCCGGGCUCGAGCACUGUAGAGGCAGAUGGAAUUCCGGGUGUAGCGGUGGAAUGCGUAGAGAUCCGGAAGAACACCGGUGGCGAAGGCGGUCUGCUGGGCAGUUGCUGACACUGAGGCGCGACAGCGUGGGGAGCAAACAGG
This 255-nucleotide ribosomal RNA is filed under the name uncultured bacterium. RNAcentral describes it as "partial 16S ribosomal RNA". It matches the Rfam family "Bacterial small subunit ribosomal RNA", at positions 524 to 776 of the family's 1533-position model. The record is from RNAcentral.